This 1071-nucleotide long non-coding RNA is filed under the name Heterocephalus glaber (naked mole-rat). Its description in RNAcentral is "lncRNA (ENSHGLG00100043339.1)". Lineage: Eukaryota; Metazoa; Chordata; Mammalia; Rodentia; Bathyergidae. The record is from RNAcentral.
CCUUGAAUGGGGCGUGCCCAUCACUGCUUUUGUCAUAGUGCCUCAGAUUGGAAUGACCCCCGCCCAGGAGAGUGGCCAAGCACACUGUGGCCCACUCAUACAUCAGAAGAUUACACACUGGAUAAAAUGACACAAGCCACCUGCUACACACCAUGGUGCAGGUGAAUCUCCAGGCUUUGUGUGCAGUAAAGUAAGCCAGACACAGAGACCAAAUUUUACUGUUUGUAUGAACACCAAGAGUCUCUGGUGUUAAAAGUCAGGCUAGCAGUCACCUCUGGGGUGGCAUUUACUGGGGAGAAGACCUGGGGAGCAUGAAAUGUUGAUGCCUCGAUCUGAGGUUGGGUGGCUGUAGGAACCCCUGUGGCCGCCCACCCAGCUGUGCACAUAGUCCUGGGGAACUCCAUUUCGCAUAAAUUACACGGUGGGCAGGACCCAGGUCACAAGGGAUGGAAUCUAUGCAGAAAGGAGGUGUUCCAAGGGGAACUCAGAAGAGCAGGGAAGGAGAAUAGAGUGACGCUACUGCUGGGAAAGAGAAGGUCCAGUGCGUUCUUGCCAGAAAGUGCCUUCCUUCCUGGCAGGGUGGCGUCUCUCCCUCCUCCACAGGUGACAGCAGAGAAAACACAGCCUCACGUAGACCCUCCCUUCUCGAAAGGAGCCGACAGUCCUGAUCCCAGGCCCCAAAGCUCCUCUCAACCAUCAGCCCCAAUCACAACGACUCAACAACUCGACCUGCCUGCACACAACCUCAGCUCUGCACUUAGGACCUGCCCAAGCCAGCCUUCACCUUGGGAGCUGAAAAGUUCACAUCAAGCAGAUUUUCCUCCAGUGUCCUUGACAGGAAAGCUACAUCUGAGAGCGUUUAACCCCAAACUCCAAAGCUGCAAACAGUCAAGAGAACCUAGGCCAGAGCGAGGCCUGCACAGCACAGUGCACGGGCCCUCGGGACAGACGUCCAAGGGACCUGGAUAGCACUCUUUUGCCCGCCCUGGUCUGUCUGUCCUAGCACCCAGGAUGUCCCUUCUCCCCCAGGGGUGACCCUCUCACUAUAAGAGACCCUGAACUAACUACAAA